RNAcentral lists this ribosomal RNA (373 nucleotides) under uncultured organism. RNAcentral describes it as "partial 16S ribosomal RNA". It matches the Rfam family "Bacterial small subunit ribosomal RNA", at positions 527 to 896 of the family's 1533-position model. The record is from RNAcentral.
GUAGGUGGCAAGCGUUGUCCGGAAUUAUUGGGCGUAAAGCGCGCGCAGGCGGUCCUUUAAGUCUGAUGUGAAAGCCCACGGCUCAACCGUGGAGGGUCAUUGGAAACUGGGGGACUUGAGUACAGAAGAGGAAAGCGGAAUUCCACGUGUAGCGGUGAAAUGCGUAGAGAUGUGGAGGAACACCAGUGGCGAAGGCGGCUUUCUGGUCUGUAACUGACGCUGAGGCGCGAAAGCGUGGGGAGCAAACAGGGAUCAGAUACCCUGGUAGUCCACGCCGUAAACGAUGAGUGCUAAGUGUUAGGGGGUUUCCGCCCCCCUUAGUGCUGCAGCUAACGCAUUAAGCACUCCGCCUGGGAGUACGGCCGCAAGGCUG